This 255-nucleotide ribosomal RNA is filed under the name uncultured bacterium. RNAcentral describes it as "partial 16S ribosomal RNA". It matches the Rfam family "Bacterial small subunit ribosomal RNA", at positions 197 to 455 of the family's 1533-position model. The record is from RNAcentral.
AGUAUCAAAGCUCUGGCGGUACAGGAUGGACCCGCGUCUGAUUAGCUAGUUGGUGAGGUAAUGGCUCACCAAGGCGACGAUCAGUAGCCGACCUGAGAGGGUGAUCGGCCACAUUGGAACUGGGACACGGUCCAAACUCCUACGGGAGGCAGCAGUGGGGAAUAUUGCACAGUGGGCGAAAGCCUGAUGCAGCAACGCCGCGUGAGUUAAAGGGCCUUCGGGUCGUAAAGCUCUGUCCUCAAGGAAGAUAAUGAC